Molecule: ribosomal RNA, 253 nt
Filed under: uncultured bacterium
Lineage: Bacteria
Description: partial 16S ribosomal RNA
Rfam family: Bacterial small subunit ribosomal RNA
Source: RNAcentral
UACGUAGGGUGCAAGCGUUGUCCGGAAUUAUUGGGCGUAAAGAGCUCGUAGGCGGCUUGUCACGUCGGAUGUGAAAAUCCAGGGCUCAACCCUGGACCUGCCUUCGAUACGGGCAGGCUAGAAUUCGGUAGGGGAGACUGGAAUUCCUGGUGUAGCGGUGAAAUGCGCAGAUAUCUGGAGGAAUACCGGUGGCGAAGGCGGCAUCCUGGACCGGCAUUGACGCUGAGGAGCGAAAGCCAGGGGAGCAAACGGG